Molecule: transfer RNA, 83 nt
Filed under: FCB group bacterium
Lineage: Bacteria; Pseudomonadati
Description: tRNA-Leu
Rfam family: tRNA
About the family: Transfer RNA (tRNA) molecules are approximately 80 nucleotides in length.
Source: RNAcentral
GCGAAAGUGGCGGAAUUGGCAGACGCGCUGGAUUUAGGAUCCAGUGUCCACAAGACGUGGGGGUUCGAGUCCCCCCUUUCGCA